AGCGAACGCUGGCGGCAUGCCUAACACAUGCAAGUCGCACGGGGGGGCUUCGGCCUCCCAGUGGCGGACGGGUCGGGAACGCGUCGGGACCUGUCGAGGGGUGGGGGAUAACCGCGGGAAACUGCGGCUAAUACCGCAUGACGCCGCGGCGUGACAGCCGGGGCCAAAGGCGAAAGCCGCCCGCCGCGGGGCGUGCGUCCGAUUCGCUGGUUGGCGGGGGAGCGGCGCACCAAGGGGUCGACCGGUAGCUGGGCUGUGAGGGUGAUCAGCCACACCGGGACUGAGACACGGCCGGGAAUCCUACGCAAGGCAGCAGUGGGGGAUAUAGGAAAACGGGGGCAAGCAUGAAGGAGCAAGGCUGGUUGGGUGAAGAAGUUCUGCGGAUAGUAAAGCCCGUUCGGCGGGGCCGAUGGUGACGGUACCCGCAGAAGAAGCCCCGGCUAACUUCGUG
RNAcentral lists this ribosomal RNA (451 nucleotides) under uncultured bacterium. RNAcentral's name for it is "partial 16S ribosomal RNA". It matches the Rfam family "Bacterial small subunit ribosomal RNA", at positions 30 to 507 of the family's 1533-position model. The record is from RNAcentral.